RNAcentral lists this ribosomal RNA (1449 nucleotides) under human gut metagenome. RNAcentral's name for it is "bacterial LSU rRNA". It matches the Rfam family "Bacterial large subunit ribosomal RNA", at positions 1190 to 2641 of the family's 2925-position model. The record is from RNAcentral.
UCUACCGAAGCAGUGGGAUCAUUAAUAUGAUCGGUAGGGGAGCAUUCCAGUCAGCGUCGAAGGCGUACCGUGAGGUAUUCUGGAGCGUCUGGAAAAGCAAAUGUAGGUAUAAGUAACGAUAAAGGGGGCGGGAAACCCCCUCGCCGAAAGACUAAGGUUUCCUGAUCAACGCUAAUCGGAUCAGGGUCAGUCGGGUCCUAAGGCUCAGCCGAACGGCGAGGCCGAUGGCAGAAACGGUUAAUAUUCCGUUACUACCUUUGAGGGUGACGUGGGGAAGCAGUAGUGACACUGCCGCGGGCUGACGGAAUAGCCCGUUAAAGAGUGUAGGCGUUGAUUUCCGCAGGCAAAUCCACGGAAAGAGCCGAACUUGACAGUAUGGAGCGUCCUUCGGGACAAUCCAACAGCGCAGGUAAUCAGACUGCCGAGAAAAUCCGCUAAACAUAACUUCAGAGGUACCCGUACCGCAAACGGACACACGUAGUCGGGUUGAAUAUACUAAGGCGCUUGGGUGAAUCACGGUUAAGGAACUAGGCAAACUGACCCUGUAACUUCGGGAUAAAGGGUCCCUACCCUUUUAUGGGAGGGCGCAGAGAAUCGGUCCAGGCAACUGUUUAACAAAAACACAGGGCUGUGCAAAAUAGAAAUAUGAAGUAUACAGCCUGACACCUGCCCGGUGCUGGAAGGUUAAGAGGAGAUGUCAUCGCAAGAGAAGCAUUGAAUUGAAGCCCCAGUAAACGGCGGCCGUAACUAUAACGGUCCUAAGGUAGCGAAAUUCCUUGUCGGGUAAGUUCCGACCCGCACGAAAGGCGUAAUGAUUUGGGCACUGUCUCAACAAUGCACCCGGUGAAAUUGAAAUACCAGUGAAGAUGCUGGUUACCUGCGCCAGGACGGAAAGACCCCAUGGAGCUUUACUCCAGUUUGAUACUGGGAUUCGGUACUGCACGUACAGGAUAGGUGGGAGACUGAGAACUAUGGACGCCAGUCUGUAGGGAGUCGCUGUUGGGAUACCACCCCUGUAGUACUGGGUUUCUAACCAGUUGCCAUGAACUGGCAAUGGGACAAUGUCAGGCGGGGAGUUUGACUGGGGCGGUCGCCUCCGAAAGGGUAUCGGAGGCGCUCAAAGGUUCCCUCAGAAUGGUCGGAAACCAUUCGAAGAGUGCAAAGGCAGAAGGGAGCUUGACUGCGACACCGACGGGUGGAGCAGGUACGAAAGUAGGACUUAGUGAUCCGGUGGUAUAAAGUGGGAUUGCCAUCGCUCAACGGAUAAAAGCUACCCUGGGGAUAACAGGCUUAUCACUCCCAAGAGUUCACAUCGACGGAGUGGUUUGGCACCUCGAUGUCGGCUCAUCGCAUCCUGGGGCUGUAGCAGGUCCCAAGGGUUGGGCUGUUCGCCCAUUAAAGCGGUACGCGAGCUGGGUUCAGAACGUCGUGAGACAGUUCGGUCCCUAU